AGAGUUUGAUCAUGGCUCAGGACGAACGCUGGCGGCGUGCCUAAUACAUGCAAGUUGAACGAUGAUUUCUGGUACUUGUAUCAGAAUGAAGAGUAGCGAACGGGUGAGUAACGCGUGGGUAACCUACCUCUUAGCGGGGGACAACUAUUGGAAACGAUAGCUAAUACCGCAUAACAAUAUUAAACACAUGUUUAACAUUUGAAAGUACCAAUUGGUACACUAGGAGAUGGACCCGCGUUGUAUUAGCUAGUUGGUAGUGUAAUGGACUACCAAGGCGAUGAUACAUAGCCGACCUGAGAGGGUGAUCGGCCACAUUGGGACUGAGACACGGCCCAAACUCCUACGGGAGGCAGCAGUAGGGAAUCUUCGGCAAUGGACGAAAGUCUGACCGAGCAACGCCGCGUGAGUGAAGAAGGUUUUCGGAUCGUAAAACUCUGUUGUUAGAGAAGAACGUUGUGUAGAGUGGAAAAUUACACAAGUGACGGUAUCUAACCAGAAAGGGACGGCUAACUACGUGCCAGCAGCCGCGGUAAUACGUAGGUCCCGAGCGUUGUCCGGAUUUAUUGGGCGUAAAGCGAGCGCAGGUGGUUUAAUAAGUCUGAUGUAAAAGGCAGUGGCUCAACCAUUGUGUGCAUUGGAAACUGUUAGACUUGAGUGCAGUAGAGGAGAGUGGAAUUCCAUGUGUAGCGGUGAAAUGCGUAGAUAUAUGGAGGAACACCGGUGGCGAAAGCGGCUCUCUGGACUGUAACUGACACUGAGGCUCGAAAGCGUGGGUAGCAAACAGGAUUAGAUACCCUGGUAGUCCACGCCGUAAACGAUGAGUGCUAGUUGUUUGGGGCUAUCCAGCCCUAAGUGACGCAGCAAACGCAUUAAGCACUCCGCCUGGGGAGUACGACCGCAAGGUUGAAACUCAAAGGAAUUGACGGGGGCCCACACAAGCGGUGGAGCAUGUGGUUUAAUUCGAAGCAACGCGAAGAACCUUACCAGGUCUUGACAUACCAGUGCUAUUCUUAGAGAUAGAGUACUUCGGUACACUGGAUACAGCUGGUGCAUCGUUGUCGUCAGCUCGUGUCGUGCA
Molecule: ribosomal RNA, 1078 nt
Filed under: uncultured Lactococcus sp.
Lineage: Bacteria; Bacillati; Bacillota; Bacilli; Lactobacillales; Streptococcaceae
Description: bacterial SSU rRNA
Rfam family: Bacterial small subunit ribosomal RNA
Source: RNAcentral